UUACCUGGUCUUGACAUCCACAGAACUUGCCAGAGAUGGCUUGGUGCCUUCGGGAACUGUGAGACAGGUGCUGCAUGGCUGUCGUCAGCUCGUGUUGUGAAAUGUUGGGUUAAGUCCCGCAACGAGCGCAACCCUUAUCCUUUGUUGCCAGCGGUCCGGCCGGGAACUCAAAGGAGACUGCCAGUGAUAAACUGGAGGAAGGUGGGGAUGACGUCAAGUCAUCAUGGCCCUUACGACCAGGGCUACACACGUGCUACAAUGGCGCAUACAAAGAGAAGCGACCUCGCGAGAGCAAGCGGACCUCAUAAAGUGCGUCGUAGUCCGGAUUGGAGUCUGCAACUCGACUCCAUGAAGUCGGAAUCGCUAGUAAUCGGAAUCAGA
This 381-nucleotide ribosomal RNA is filed under the name Enterobacter sp. FER46. RNAcentral describes it as "bacterial SSU rRNA". It matches the Rfam family "Bacterial small subunit ribosomal RNA", at positions 971 to 1353 of the family's 1533-position model. The record is from RNAcentral. Lineage: Bacteria; Pseudomonadati; Pseudomonadota; Gammaproteobacteria; Enterobacterales; Enterobacteriaceae.